UGGGGAAUCUUCCGCAAUGGACGAAAGUCUGACGGAGCAACGCCGCGUGAGUGAUGACGGCCUUCGGGUUGUAAAGCUCUGUUAAUCGGGACGAAAGGCCUUCUUGCGAAUAGUGAGAAGGAUUGACGGUACCGGAAUAGAAAGCCACGGCUAACUACGUGCCAGCAGCCGCGGUAAUACGUAGGUGGCAAGCGUUGUCCGGAAUUAUUGGGCGUAAAGCGCGCGCAGGCGGAUCGGUCAGUCUGUCUUAAAAGUUCGGGGCUUAACCCCGUGAUGGGAUGGAAACUGCCAAUCUAGAGUAUCGGAGAGGAAAGUGGAAUUCCUAGUGUAGCGGUGAAAUGCGUAGAUAUUAGGAAGAACACCAGUGGCGAAGGCGACUUUCUGGACGAAAACUGACGCUGAGGCGCGAAAGCCAGGGGAGCGAACGGG
RNAcentral lists this ribosomal RNA (429 nucleotides) under uncultured bacterium. RNAcentral describes it as "bacterial SSU rRNA". It matches the Rfam family "Bacterial small subunit ribosomal RNA", at positions 355 to 776 of the family's 1533-position model. The record is from RNAcentral. RNAcentral also lists the same sequence under 1 other name.